Molecule: transfer RNA, 70 nt
Filed under: Cynoglossus joyneri (red tonguesole)
Lineage: Eukaryota; Metazoa; Chordata; Actinopteri; Pleuronectiformes; Cynoglossidae
Description: tRNA-Thr
Rfam family: tRNA
About the family: Transfer RNA (tRNA) molecules are approximately 80 nucleotides in length. Their secondary structure includes four short double-helical elements and three loops (D, anti-codon, and T loops).
Source: RNAcentral
GCAUUAGUAGCUCAGCCAAGAGCAUUGGUCUUGUAAACCAAAGGUCGGAGAAUAGACCCUCCCUUCUGCU